RNAcentral lists this transfer RNA (90 nucleotides) under Candidatus Taylorbacteria bacterium RIFCSPHIGHO2_01_FULL_43_47. RNAcentral's name for it is "tRNA-Ser". It matches the Rfam family "tRNA". From Rfam's summary of the family: Transfer RNA (tRNA) molecules are approximately 80 nucleotides in length. Their secondary structure includes four short double-helical elements and three loops (D, anti-codon, and T loops). Lineage: Bacteria; Candidatus Tayloriibacteriota. The record is from RNAcentral.
GGAGAGAUGGCUGAGCGGUCGAAGGCACCGGUUUCGAAAACCGGCAGGCUCGAAAGGGUCUCGAGGGUUCGAAUCCCUCUCUCUCCGCCA